Syngnathoides biaculeatus (alligator pipefish) is the source of this 380-nucleotide long non-coding RNA. RefSeq lists it as uncharacterized. The transcript is spliced from 3 exons. The record is from RefSeq and is a predicted model, not a curated record. NCBI's taxonomy places the organism in Eukaryota, Metazoa, Chordata, Actinopteri, Syngnathiformes, Syngnathidae.
CGGCGCACCAGGCCCCGUCGUAGAGGUCGUCCUCGUAGAGGCCGGCCUGUGGGGGGAAAUGGGGCGGGGGUCGGACAGUGGAGCUUUAGUCCAGAUGGACGCCGGAUUCUCGCUGCUGUGCGCAAUUGCGAGCGCAACCCUCACCUGAAUAUUGAGACGACCUCUGUGCGCGCCGAGGCCGUAGCGCUUGGUGGUGGACGCGUGGAGCUGGAAGUCGUCGAUCUUCAGCGUCUCCAGUCCCAUGGGGGGGCACUCUGGACAUGGAGUCUCUGGGAAGAGUUCAAGAACCACUUUUCCUCUCCAUCUCCUCCCACUCUGUCUGCUGGAACCCUGGGAAAGUUUCCCCUCUCUCUCCUUUUGGGAAGUCGAGCACCUGAUAA